GUGGUUGCUUCAGCAGCACACACACUAAAAUGGGAAGUAUACAGAGAAGACUAGCAUGGCCCCUGCACCAGGAGGGACAUGAUUUAGGGGAUUGAGCGUUCCUU
Small nuclear RNA from Vulpes vulpes (red fox), 104 nucleotides. The record is from Ensembl. NCBI's taxonomy places the organism in Eukaryota, Metazoa, Chordata, Mammalia, Carnivora, Canidae.